This 77-nucleotide transfer RNA is filed under the name Mycobacterium avium subsp. hominissuis. Its description in RNAcentral is "tRNA-Pro". It matches the Rfam family "tRNA". Rfam says of the family: Transfer RNA (tRNA) molecules are approximately 80 nucleotides in length. Their secondary structure includes four short double-helical elements and three loops (D, anti-codon, and T loops). The record is from RNAcentral. RNAcentral also lists the same sequence under 3 other names. Lineage: Bacteria; Bacillati; Actinomycetota; Actinomycetes; Mycobacteriales; Mycobacteriaceae.
CGGGAUGUAGCGCAACUUGGAAGCGCACCUGGUUCGGGGCCAGGCGGUUGCACGUUCAAAUCGUGCCAUCCCGACCA